RNAcentral lists this ribosomal RNA (253 nucleotides) under uncultured bacterium. Its description in RNAcentral is "partial 16S ribosomal RNA". It matches the Rfam family "Bacterial small subunit ribosomal RNA", at positions 524 to 776 of the family's 1533-position model. The record is from RNAcentral.
GACAGAGGUGCCGAGCGUUAGGCGGAAUCACUGGGCUUAAAGCGUGUGUAGGCGGAUGCCUAAGUACCUUGUGAAAUCCCACGGCUCAACCGUGGAACUGCUUGGUAUACUGGGUGUCUUGAGCUAUCUAGGGGCGACUGGAACAAACGGUGGAGCGGUGAAAUGCGUAGAUAUCGUUUGGAACGCCAAUGGUGAAAACAGGUUGCUGGGGAUAUGCUGACGCUGAGACACGAAAGCCAGGGGAGCAAACGGG